Long non-coding RNA from Monodelphis domestica (gray short-tailed opossum), 2742 nucleotides. RefSeq lists it as uncharacterized. The record is from RefSeq and is a predicted model, not a curated record. Lineage: Eukaryota; Metazoa; Chordata; Mammalia; Didelphimorphia; Didelphidae.
UCUCUCUCUGUGUAUAACCUAUUUAUAUAUGCACAUGAAAUAGACACAGAGGCUCUGCUAUCUUUAGCUCUCUCCUCCUCCCACCCAUACACAGGAUGUACACUCUCAAUCGCCAGUCCCCUCAGGAUUUUCUAAGGAGUCUUAAGGAAAACAGAGAGAACAGCCAGCACAGUCUCUUUUAAAAAUCAGGGGAAAGAGAAAACAGAAAAAGGGUUUCCUGCCCUACUCCCUUCAACCCCAUGCCUCAUAUUUUCUCUUGAAGGACAGCUACUGUCAUUGUUAAUUGGGCUUAGGACACGUUGUAUUUUUCUCCGCCAAGGAUCCUAGAGAUUAUCACUAUUCCAAGCUGCUGGAGCCAAGAACGUAGAGGCUUGAGGACACGAGUAGAGAGCAGGAAGGAUGCUUGCUCUGGGCAACAUCCGUAACCAGGCAGGAAGAGCCGCCCUGGGCACGUUCAGUGGAAGCGCACCCUUUAUCCAGCUUCUUCUUCUCUUCACCCUUGGAGGCCUUCUUUGGUUUCUCUGUCAUAGCAUCCAACCAGAGGGGGAUUUCUGUGGUUUUAAGCCCAGUUAGCAAAACGGAAGCGACUGAACUGGAUGAGCUGGUGAAGGCUCCCAAUCAUCAGCGAGCAAGAAAGAGCGCCAGACCUGGAGUCCACACGGCAGCUUGCUGCUCCAUGUGCGGCCUGGGGAGGCCUUGCCCACUCUCUGCCUCAGUUUCCUCGGCUGUCAGAGGCCGCGGGUUGGACUAGGUGAUCUCUCAUCUCCCGUUCAAAAAGGAAAACCCAACCCAACCCUCUGAACGGAUGACCUCAAUAGCACCAUCACUGCCAACCCAUGGUGGCUGGCUAAGGCACCUCCCCACACUUUUUCCUUUCCAAGAGCUAAAAUCACUGUCUUUUCAGCUCUUCUCCAUACAACAAGAGGGGGCGGGUAAACAAAGAUGACUUUCUGAAUUGCUUAGUUAGAAAACCCGAGGCCUGACCAAAGAUCUGAAUAAAAGUGCCGGGGAGAAAAAAUCAGAGUUUGUCUAAUUUCUGUUUUGAGGGCUGGCCCAGGGUUCUACAUGAAAUUGGCGCUCAAUGAGUAUGAUGAGUGGAUGAAUGGGUCAAGAAGGUACAGGAACCCAAUGAAGGGAAGUGAGAAAAAGAGAGGAUUCCCAAGAAGUCAUCAAGCCACCUUGGCCCACUCUGCAGGUACCCCAUCCCCCGAUGGCCAGACUGACCCGAAGGGAUGCCAGAAUUCAAGGACGCGGAGUCAGACGAGUCCUAUGAUGGCAAAAAACCAGAUGGAGAGAAGCAAAAGCACCUGCAUGUGCAACCUGUGAGGGACGUGGCUAGGCCACUUCUGGAGCCAUCCAGAGAGGGAAACGGGGCGAGAUGCUCCCCUCGGUAGCACUUACUCCACCAUGUUCUCAGCCCCUAUUCCGAGCCUGGAUGAACGCUUUAUCUCUUUGGCAAAGGAAUCAGGAUCUGUAAGAGCUAAAGUAACCCCAGCGAGCUCCGAGGAACAAUGGGGACAUUAAUGUUGCUCUUAACCGUGAAGCCGGGAUAUUGAUAUCACACUUGUAAAAAGCAAUUUUUAGCCCUUGUGAAAGGCACCGUCUGACUGCCCAGACACCGAGGUCUUUUAUUCAUCAUACAGAGAGCACAUUAAUAGCCAUGUAUGCAAAGGAGCAGCCGAGCAAGUGGCAAGAUGAAGCUGCUGAAUAAUCAUGCUAACCUCAUCAACAGGCAGUGGGAGCCCACUCUCAUUUCCUUUAUUCUCACAGGGCUAAUUCCAACAAUUAAACCGGUGAGGGUUGAAGUAUUAUGGUCCACAAACUUCUCAACAGAAGAUGGAGGCAUAAUAAAGGGAAAAGGACAUGAUUGCAAAAGGUAAGAUGGGUCCAAAAGUGGGACACGGCGGUGGGGAGGAGGGGAGAAAGAAAGUCACCUGGAGCCUGACACGGACCACACUUGGAAAUAAAUCAAUUACCUGAGUGAGAUGAAGGCAAUUGAUGGAAACUUAAUAACUCGUGAAAAGGAAAUCAUCAUUGGUCCAAGCCAGGCCCUUCUUCACCUGGGCCGUGGUGUCCAGAUGGCUUCUGUUGAUUCCUACUUUACAUACCUGUGUUGUCAUGUCCCAAUUCUUGCUCACGCAUUUAACUGUGAUGAAAUCCAUUACCGAAGGAUUGAACAGAGGAGACUAUUACCAAGUCCUCCGUGGUGCUUAGGUUUUCUUUCAGUCUGAGAGGUCAACUCACUUUCUCCAUUUCUCUCCUCCCCCUGGAUCCCCCAAGACAUCUAGUGAAAAAGCCUUUCGAGGUUGGAUCUUCUGUCGCCAUUUUCAGUGAACGCCCCAGACCCAGAGACAAUUUGAAUCUGGAAACUGAGAAAAAAGGGGAUAAUCUGGAGGAAACAUCACCGUCCUUCCAGUCAUCCAGUUGUAUAAAUCUAGAUGGACUCCUCGAUUGACAUCUUUGAUUCUUCUAUCCUCAAUUUCCAAGACACUGUCAAGUCUUACUAAUUCUCUUACCAAAAGAGCUCUUUCACCUCCCUGGCUCUUUGCCCACAGACUCUCUCUAUCCUAUUCAAGCCCUCCUCAGCCUUCACCUAGACCCAUUGCAACAGCCUUCUUCCUUUUGAUCUCUAUUUCCCUUGACCACCAUUCUCCGCACAGUUGCCAAAUGACAAUUUCCAAGACAGAAGAUUGACCUACUGAGAAAUCUUAAAAAUAAAUCAAAGCAAUUAAAAAAUAAAAA